UGGGGAAUUUUGGACAAUGGGCGCAAGCCUGAUCCAGCCAUGCCGCGUGCAGGAUGACGGUCCUAUGGAUUGUAAACUGCUUUUGUACAGGAAGAAACAGUUCUACGUGUAGAACCUUGACGGUACUGUAAGAAUAAGGAUCGGCUAACUCCGUGCCAGCAGCCGCGGUAAUACGGAGGAUCCAAGCGUUAUCCGGAAUCAUUGGGUUUAAAGGGUCCGUAGGCGGUUAGAUAAGUCAGUGGUGAAAGCCCAUCGCUCAACGGUGGAACGGCCAUUGAUACUGUCUGACUUGAAUUAUUAGGAAGUAACUAGAAUAUGUAGUGUAGCGGUGAAAUGCUUAGAGAUUACAUGGAAUACCAAUUGCGAAGGCAGGUUACUACUAAUGGAUUGACGCUGAUGGACGAAAGCGUGGGUAGCGAACAGGAUUAGAUACCCACGUAGUCCCUGAGCGGGCUGGCAAGGCGCAU
RNAcentral lists this ribosomal RNA (467 nucleotides) under uncultured bacterium. Its description in RNAcentral is "bacterial SSU rRNA". It matches the Rfam family "Bacterial small subunit ribosomal RNA", at positions 355 to 825 of the family's 1533-position model. The record is from RNAcentral.